CGCCGGGGCAAGUGCGAGCCGGCCGGGCGCUGGGUGACUGUGUGCUCGCUGAGGGAAAGUAAUUACACAUGGGCAAAGGAGAUCCUAAGAAGCCGAGAGGCAAAAUGUCAUCGUAUGCCUUCUUUGUGCAAACUUGCCGGGAGGAACACAAGAAGAAGCACCCAGAUGCUUCCGUCAACUUCUCAGAGUUUUCUAAGAAGUGCUCAGAGAGGUGGAAGACCAUGUCUGCUAAGGAGAAAGGAAAAUUUGAAGACAUGGCAAAGGCGGACAAGGCUCGUUACGAGAGAGAAAUGAAAACUUAUAGUCCUCCCAAAGGGGAAACAAAAAAGAAAUUCAAGGAUCCCAAUGCACCCAAGAGGCCUCCUUCGGCCUUUUUCUUGUUUUGUUCUGAGUAUCGCCCAAAAAUCAAAGGGGAGCAUCCUGGCCUAUCCAUUGGUGACGUUGCAAAGAAGCUGGGAGAGAUGUGGAAUAACACUGCUGCAGAUGACAAGCAGCCUUAUGAAAAGAAGGCUGCUAAGCUGAAGGAGAAAUAUGAAAAGAUAUUGUUGCAUACCGAGCUAAAGGAAAGCCUGAUGCUGCCAAAAAGGGAGUUGUCAAGGCUGAAAAAAGCAAGAAAAAGAAGGAAGAGGAAGAAGAUGAGGAAGAUGAAGAAGAUGAUGAUGAAUAAGUUGGUUCUAGUGCAGUUUUUUUUUCUUGUCUAUAAAGCAUUUAACCCCCCUGUACACAACUCACUCCUUUUAAAGAAAAAAAUUAAAAUGUAAGGCUGUGUAAGAUUUGUUUUUAAACUGUACAUUGUCUUUUUUUGUAUAGUUAACACACUACCGAAUGUGUCUUUAGAUAGCCCUGUCCUGAUGGUAUUUUCAAUAGCCACUAACCUUGCUUGGUACAGUAUGGGGGUUGUAAAUUGGCAUGGAAAUUUAAAGCAGGUUCUUGUUGGUGCACAGCACAAAUUAGUUAUAUAUGGGGAUGGUAGUUUUUCAUCUUCAGUUGUCUCUGAUGCAGCUUAUACGAAAUAAUUGUUGUUCUGUUAACUGAAUACCGCUCUGUAAUUGCAAAAAAAAAAAAAAGUUGCCGCUGUUUUGUUGAUAUUCUGAAUGCUUCUAAGUAAAUACAAUUUUUUUUAUUAAAAAAAAA
This is an RNA transcript of Myotis lucifugus (little brown bat), 1134 nucleotides long. It is a transcript of the gene named high mobility group protein B1 pseudogene, with no coding region annotated. The transcript has a single exon. The record is from RefSeq and is a predicted model, not a curated record. NCBI's taxonomy places the organism in Eukaryota, Metazoa, Chordata, Mammalia, Chiroptera, Vespertilionidae.